Molecule: long non-coding RNA, 670 nt
Organism: Uranotaenia lowii
Lineage: Eukaryota; Metazoa; Arthropoda; Insecta; Diptera; Culicidae
Exons: 3
Source: RefSeq, a predicted model, not a curated record
GUUUUUCUGCUCAUCGGUCAGUUCCUCCUCCAGCUCUGCAACUUCGUUUGCACCAUCGUCCAACACGUCCAUUGGCUGGUCACGGAUCGACGGGGAAAUUCCAAAUUUACGCCAAAAAUCGUACCCUAAGAUACACCUUCGGUUGAGCUUUGGUGCGAAAAGCAGGUUCAGGAUUCUCGUAGUGCCGUUAAAAGAUAUUGGAAGAUCUGCACACCCCAAUACCUCCAGGUCUUCGCCGGAAGCAGUCUUCAAAUUGACCGAUGUCGGAUCUAACUUCACGUUCAGGAACGGAGUCAACGUUGGCGGCGAGCAUCGCGGUUUUGCAGUCUUCCCUCGUAUUCCGGAACAGGACUUCAAAUUUACGGUCUUCGUCCCACUGCCUGGACAUUCCUCGGAAGAUGCGGACCAUAUCAAGUUCACGUAAUCUACGCUCCUGUUUAGUACGGGACUGACCGGACAUAACAACAUCACGGACACGCAAUUCAUGGUCAAGUUCUACCUCGGACAAAUGAGCUGGGUUCAUUGAGAAGUAUUGUGCUCUCAGUUUCUCUUCCAUCAUGAAUGGUAAUGUAAGUUGAAAUUAAUUAAUUAAAAUGACAAAAAUCCAAAGAACAGAGAAAGAACACAAGAAAUGAAAAGAACAGAAAUGAAUAGUACGUAUGAAUAGCCU